UGUGCAUGCACACACAACCAUUUUAUGUGCCUCAGCAUGUCUCCCACCCACAACAGGAAAGCAGUUCAAAAGGAGAAAAAAGCUAUGGCCUUUCCAGAUGGGUAGGAUUUUUUUUUUCUGCAGGUGUAUUAUGUAAUACAGUCGUACCUGGGUUUUCGAGCAGCUUAGUUCUCGAACGUUUUUGCUCCCAAACGCCGCAAACCCAUAAGUGACUGUUCCAAUUUGCAUAUUUUUGGAAGCCAAAUGUCUGACAGGGCUUCUGCGGCUUCCGAUUGGUUGCAGGAGCUUCCUGCAGCCAGUCAGAAGCUGCACUUUGGCUUCCAAAUGUUUUGGAAGUCGAACGGACUUCCGGAACGGAUUCCGUUCAACUUCCAAUGUAUGGCUGUGUUUGUUGGUUUCUGCUUUCCUUCACUGUGCAGCUCUACAUGUCACGAGACAGGUGCUUACAUUCCACAGUCUGUACUGUUGGAGUUUCUCACGGGAAAGGGAGACUGGAUGUGACGUACACUGGUUUCCUGUUUUUUUCACUGUGUUUUUUUUUCUCUCCGAGCUGUUGAGGAGAGAGGAUGCAUUCUCUGCUCCGGCAGAGGCAAGAUGUCUUUCUGUAUUAUACCAGCUUUGAACUGUAAAUAAAGCAAUAAGGAGUAUGCAGCACAUUUUCCUCAUCCUUCCGCUGGCAACCAGACUCUGCUUUAAAUCAACACGUGGUUAUGGACUCCAGAGGUCGAAUCGGAGUGCCGGCAAAGGAUCGGAAUGCAGAGGGACGGAUCGGAAAGGAAUCUGCUCUGCGCGUAGAAGUGAUUGAUGAGGUAUGUGCUACUGCUCCGGGCAGCCUGCCAGCUUCAAGAUAAUGGCUUUAUGGCUGGACUUUGAACUUUUAAAGCCGGUUUUGCAAAUAGGCAAAAGGCUCCCAGGCACAAGUCACUAUGCUGGGGAAAUCGAAGUAACUUUUAAGUGUGCCGUUGUAAUGAGGCAGCUGCAGCAGUGACGCAGCAAGAUUUAAAGCAGCAUAUGACGCUGAAGGCUAAUGCCAGAGUCAUGAUGGCCCUUCAGGAUGCUUGUGGGAUUCCUAAGCUCAACAAGAAAAAUUACAGCGACUGGGUUCAGUAUGCAGAGGCAAUUCUGCGGAAAGAGGGUUUGUUUGAGGUGAUUACAGAAACCCCCAGUUCCAGUUACAGAUGCAUGGGAAGCUAAGGAUUCCAAAGCAAGGGAACUCUUACAUUGAUAGUAUCCCCAGAAGAGCUCUGUCUAUUGCGUGAUAAGACCUCAGCCAGAGAAAUUUGGGACGCUCUGAGAGAGGCUCACUUAAGGACAGAAGCUGGAUCCACUAUGUUUUAUUUUAACAAGCUGCAUAAUAUGGCUCUUGCUGAAGGUGGAGAUGUGCGUUUACAUCUGAUGCAGAUGCAAAAUCUCAGACAUGAGCUGCAACAGAGAGGACUCAACUUUCCAGAGGCUGUGUAUUCUUUCAUGAUACUACAAUCUUUGGGUUCAGGUUGGGAGUCUGUUGCAACCCAGAUUGCUGUGCAACCAACUGCUCAGCUGACAGUGGACUUUGUUACUGCCGUGAUUUUAAAUGAAGCAGAUCGCCGGGUGCUAGCUGCAUGGGCAAAGGGGAGUCUUCACAGACGUCAUCCCAUAGUGCAGUGGAACCACCAGAUGGCGCCAAAGCUUUGAAGGCAGUGAAAUGCUACUCAUGUGGACGUCUAGGCCAUAUGAAGAGGGAAUGCAGACAUCCCAGGGCCAAGACAGAGCAGCGCAGCGAAAGCUCAUCGCGCGGAAAAGGCCGAGGCAAAGGCAAAGGUCCGGUGUCUAGGACAACGCAGCACAAGGCUAUGGUUUCACGCUUCACUCCAAAGGUUGCAGAGGUCCAGAAGACGUCUAGAUCUUUCUUCGUUGUUGAUUCAGCGGCGACCCACCACAUGUGCAACGAUAAGAAACUGUUUGUGUCUUUUACACCGCAGGAAGGUGCGAUUCACCAGGCGGAUGACCACACUAUUCCCAGUAAAGGCUACGGAACUGUUGUUCUUCACAGUUUGGACUUAUCGAUACAGAAUGUGCUUUACGUGCCAGACGCCAAACAUAAUCUGCUCAGCGUUGGACAGCUGAAUGAGCGGAACAUUGACGUUUCCUUCAAGAACAAGAAGUGCAUCAUCACAAAGAAAAUGAUUAUGUAUUGCAUGCAGAAUAUGUUGAUCGUUUGUUUGUUUUGUAUUAUGAUGAUGUGGUGCAGGAUGACACUUGUUGCAUUGCAGGUUCUAACAAAAGUUUGCAUGCAGAAUGUAUUCACGAUUUUCAUCGAAAAUUUGGUCAUUUGCAUUUUGAGGCAGUAUCUAAAAUGCCUGCCUUGGUUGAAGGUAUGACUAUUAAACCCUGCAGGUACCACAUGAAGUGCAAAGCAUGCGCAGCAAACAAGGUGAAAAUGGCUGCGAAAGGUAAGGUGUCUAGUAGGACAGCUACAGAACCAUACCAGGUUGUUCAUGCUGAUUUGGUUGGACCAUUAGCGCCCUCUUUGGGUGAAAAUAGAUACUUCAUGGUUCUCAUUGAUGCAUUUUCUAGAUAUAUUUUUGUGUACAAUCUCAAGCAGAAAUCGGAGGCUUUUCCUAGGUUCAAGGAAUUCUGUGCUUGGUUGGAAAAUGUGCAUGGUAAGAAGAUAAAGACUCUUUUCAGUGAUCGCGGGAGAAUUCACUUCUCAGCAGUUUGAAGCUUUUCUGACUGAGAAAGGAAUUCAACACGAUUUGUCUAGUCCUCGCUCGCCAUGGCAGAAUGGACUUGCGGAACGGGCAAAUCAGACAUUGCUUCAAGGGUUAAAGACCUUGCUGCAUGAUGCCAAUCUUCCAGAGAGUUAUUGGGCCGAAUCUCUCUCGUGUUUUGUUUACAGUUACAAUCGCAGAUUAUCUUCAGCGAUUGGUUGUACCUCUAUGAGAAGAUGUUUGGCAAGAAGCCAUACAUCAAACACAGAUUUUGUUCUGACAUGGGUUCGCCCCACAAAAUAACAUGAGGUACUUAGGUAAGAUCUAAUAAUGUGAUACUCUAAAAAGCUCACGAAGUGAAUGGGGAUGGAUUUUACUGACUGAGAGACGGAUGUCAAGCAACCCACACACGAUAAGCUGAGUCUGACUGUGAUCAGUUUAUCUCUCAACCAUUGUUCAAGGUGUUUUGGAGGAAGAGACUAUCGGAGAAUCUGACAAGCAUGACGAAAGCCAGAUGACCUUAGUUCAAAUCAGGGUUGAUUAAAAGCAUGGUAAACCAUGAAGGAUUGAACAAACAUGGGGUCCAGACAGGAUGAAACUGUGGUCUUAAGCGAACAGUCAUGCAUAGUCGACCAGCCAGAUUUGCCAGGUUGCCAGGUCGACAUCAAACCUAUUCCCCAUGAAAAGCAUUUCACUAGCGCGGAACACAUAGCACUGAUAUUCAGCUUUCUGUCGAUUAUAUCUUUAUAUGCUUCCACCUGAUGGCGUACAGGUAAAACAGGGAUUUGUUUGUGCUCUGAAGAAAUCCCUUUAUGGUCUCAAACAAAGUGCACGGUGUUGGCACACAAAACUCACUGAAGUAUUGUUUUCUCUAGGUUUUCAGCAAGGGAAAGCUGAUCCAUGUGUAUUUGUCAAAGAGGAGGGGCAAAAGAAACUGUACUGUUUGUUUUAUGUUGAUGAUUUAUUAUUCUUUUGGAAAGAUGUUGCAAUGUACAAUAGCGCCCUAGCUCAACUGAAAGAGCACUUUGACAUGAAAGAUCUUGGUGAGGUAAACAACUACCUAUCUCUGGAAAUAGAGAGAGAUCAAGAUGGUAACAUUCUAGUACACCAGUCACGGAAAAUUGCUGAUGUGUUAAGCAAACUAAAUCUGAUGGAUGCUAACCCUGUAGACACACCGAUGACAACAGGUUAUCAGGUAGAUGACACUGAAGAAGCAUUUUCUGACACUACACUGUACAGGAGUGUGCUAGGCAAGCUAAACUUCAUUGCCAGAUGUUCAAGACCAGACAUUGCUGUUAGCUGUAAUUUGCUAAGCAGACAAGUCAACAAUCCUAGUGUCAAGGAUUGGAAAGCUCUGAAACGCAUAGCGCGGUAUUUGAAAGGCACUAUGCAUUACAGACUGAGAUUUAACAAUCAGAAGUCUGGUGGUCUUGAGAUAUUUGCAGAUGCAAGUUUUGGAAGUGACGCUACAGACAGGAAAAGUACGUCUGGAGUUUGCUACAUGUACAAUCAGGGUCUGUUUGAUUGGUCAUGCAAGAAGCAAACAACAGUUAGCUUAAGUACUUGUGAAGCCGAACUGAAUGCACUGUCUUAUUCACUUAAGGAUUGUGAAUGGUUAGUACAAUUGUGCAAAGAUAUGAAAAUUCCUGUCAAAUGUCCAAUCCAGGUUUACCAGGACAACAAAGCAUGUUUGGCUUUGCUGAAGUCUGAAGGUUGUAAGCAAAGCACAAAGCACUUGCAAUUAAAGUUGCAGCAUGCUAGGGAAUGUAUUCAGAAGGGACUCGUAACGGUGUCCUAUAUGCCAGGUAAUGAAAUUCCUGCUGAUGUAUUGUCCAAGAUUGUAUCGAGGGAUCAACACUGUACCUAUGUGCAGAAGUUGGGUUUGUACUGAUAUUGUACAAACACGCUGCCCAGUGAUGUUCACAGAAAGGGGAGGAUGUUGGUUUCUGCUUUCCUUCACUGUGCAGCUCUGCAUGUCACGAGACAGGUGUUUACAUUCCACAGUCUGUACUGUUGGAGUUUCUCACGGGAAAGGGAGACUGGAUGUGACGUACACUGGUUUCCUGUUUUUUCACUGUGUGAUUCUCUCCGAGCUGUUGAGGAGAGAGGAUGCAUUCUCUGCUCCGGCAGAGGCAAGAUGUCUUUCUGUAUUAUACCAGCUUUGAACUGUAAAUAAAGCAAUAAGGAGUAUGCAGCACAUUUUCCUCAUCCUUCCGCUGGCAACCAGACUCUGCUUUAAAUCAACAGUGUUAUGUACUGAGUUGAAUAGGAUCCAAAAUGCAGCAGUCUGAUUGGUCCUAGAACAAUAGGAUCCAAAAUGCAGCAGUCUGAUUGGUCCUAGAACAAUAGGAUCCAAAAUGCAGCAGUCUGAUUGGUCCUAGAACAAUGCAGCGGUAUGAUUGGUCCGCAAGAGCCACCCAAUCCAGCUCCAGAUGGAAGUGAAUCCACAACCUGAUUGGCCUACAGGAGAAUUCUGGAAUUAGCCAAUCACAUGCAGCCCAUUGUGUAAAUAAUGUAUAUAAAGCAGAUACUGUGGGGAAACUUCCAUUCCUCCUCACCACUAUGAGCUGAAUAAAGAGCAUGAAAUCAACUCUCGACUCCGAGUAUAUUUCAGGCUGUAUGUCAUUGAAGGAAUAACAGUGCCUUAGUAGUGGAUUUAUGGGACGCGGGUUGCACUGUGGUCUAAACCACAGAGCCUAGGGCUUGCCGAUCAGAAGGUCGGCAGAUCAAAUCUCCACGACGGGGUGAGCUCCCGUUGCUCAGUCCCUGCUCCUGCCAACCUAGCAGUUUGAAAGCACGUCAAAGUGCAAGUAGAUAAAUAGAUACCACUCCGGCGGAAAGGUAAACAGUGUUUCUGUGCGCUGCUCUGGUUCACCAGAAGCGGCUUAGUCAUGCUGCCCACAUGACCUGGAAGCUGUACACCAGCUCCCUCUGCCAGUAAAGCAAGAUGAGAGCCGCAACCCCAGAUUCGUUCGCGACUGGACCUAACGGUCAGGGGUCCCUUUAGCUUUAGCUUUAGUAGUGGAUUUAUACUGGACCAUCCACCCAUUAUUUCACUUUAUUAGUUGUUUUGCAAUGCUUCCCCAACACUAACGCAUUCUUGCCAUCUGGAGGGUGAAAGCAAUCUUGUCAUCUGUAGCGCAACAAAAGUGGACAAAUAUUAAACCUGAAUAUGUGUGGCAUUUUAAAGUUACAGGGUUUUAGCAGGAAGCUAUAGGACAUGCGCUCACCAGAGAUAAAGCAGGAUGUCAGCCCCAAAACUUCUGCAGGCACAAAGUGUAUAAACUGUCCGUUUACCAUCAUGAGCCCAAAUCAUCAUCAGCACAUAAUAAAAAGUAUGGGAGGGGAGCGUAGUACUGACUCAUCCGGCAGUGUCCCAGAGCUCUCCCUCCACAAUAAAUGUUGCUCCCUGGGCUUCAGAGAGGCUGAGAGCAAGCAGAGCCCACAGUGUACAAGAUUAAUCCAUUCCGGGGUUUUUGCCACUCCCUACCUGUCCUGAGUCUCAACCAUCUCUCUUUUUUUAUUCUCACCCCACUCCCCUUGGAAACUUGCAUCUUCUCUUCAAGUUGCUGAUUGUUCAGCCCAGCCAUGCCUGUCCCCACACUCCUCUCUCUGACCUUCUUCUCCCCACAGCUGCAGCCAGUUUAUCUAACAGGAUGUCUAAUUUAUGUCCAAUACAAAUGCGUGCAAACAACAACUUAUCUAUUUUAGCACCUUGCAUUAAACUUUCCCUGGGGAGAGAUAAUAAAACCUUCAGGCCUUCCGUUGCCUGCACGCUCUCUCUCUCUCUCUCACACACACACCCACCCCAAAAACCCCACCCUCUUUUCUCGUCAGUUUGUGGCUUCCAUGAACAUUAGGACUUUCGCCACAGAUAGAAAGCAGAUCCCACCUGCCCCAGAACAAGAUAGCAGCAGAUUGCUCUUUUAUCUGUGUGUGUCUGUCUAAACAACCUGCGUCUUGUCACCUCGGAGGGAAAGCAGUACCAAGCAAGGUGGCAAAUGCACAGUGCAGGGCCCAUAAAUCGAGCAGGUUGUUGCUCCCAGCCUGGGAAGGAGAAAUGAGCAUCGCAUUUAUGAGGAAGCAGCACUCAUACACACACACACAUGCAUAUACGCACACGGUCAAGAAGAAAUCCCAGUUAGGGCUGACUGCUGAAAGGCCUUGUCAUGCUCUACACACACACACACACACACACACACACACACACACACACACCCUUGAGAGAAGCAACCAAUGCGGACACUAAGUGAGGCCUGUCUCCCAAGGGCUGUUUAGCAUUCUGGUUGCGCACACCACCGGCAAGGAGCGGGCCAAGCCCACUCAGAUUUCACAGCACGUCCGCAAGUCAUUGGCAGGUUUAAAGCCCUACAAAGGCAAAGCCUGAACGAGGCAGUGAUGGAGUGAUCGAGCGCACAGCCAUACAUGCCCAGGCACAUAUGAGAGCAGAAUGGAUGCAUGCAGCAGCACGCUGAUGUAGCCCUCAUGCUCCCUCUCUUUCUCUGGGUCUGGCACAAAUGCACAAUGGCAUACCCUCCAACAUUUCUCCAAUGAAAAUAGGGGUGUCCCAUUCCAUAAUGAUAAUUUUACUACAGUGGUACCUCGGGUUAAGUACUUAAUUCGUUCUGGAGGUCUGUUCUUAACCUGAAACUGUUCUUAACCUGAAGCACCACUUUAGCUAAUGGGGCCUCCUGCUGCCGCUGCGCCGCCGGAGCACGAUUUCUGUUCUCAUCCUGAAGCAAAGUUCUUAACCUGAAGCACCAUUUCUGGGUUCGCGGAGUCUGUAACCUGAAGCGUAUGUAACCUGAGGCACCACUGUAUUUAUACCCCACACAUCUUAUUGGGUUGCCCCAGCCACUCUGGGCAGCUUCCAACAUAUAUAAAAACAUAACAAAACAUUUUUAAAAAAAUUAAAAACUUCCCUAUUCAGGAUUGCCUUCAAACGGCUCGGGGGUGGAUAACUCCAUACCCUCCAACAUUUCUCCAAUGAAAAUAGGGACAGCCUAAGGAAAACCGGGACAUUCCAGGAUCAAAUCAGAAACCAGGAUGCCAUCUCUAAAUCAGGGAUGUCCCUGGAAAAUAGGGACACAGAUAAGACACGUAAAUGGCACACAUGUAUUUUAAUGGCAGGCUAAUUUUGAAUAUAUUUUAGAAAUUUUGUUUAUUAUUUUUGCUGUUUGAUACAGUUUUGUUUCUUGGCUAUAUUGCUGCUACUUUUGUUCUGCUUUCAGAUUUUAUUGCCAUUCCUGAACCUAUCAGGAUACAGGGCACUUCCAGAUCGUCACUAUUUUCAGGUGGGAUUCAGCCACGUACCACCAAAUUCAAAGCACACAGUUAAAGUGAAUCUGGCACUCUAGAGCAGCAAACCAACUUCCUUGUAAAAAAAAACACAGGAAAGUGACAAGAAAAUGCCCUGGAAAGUGUUGGAUAACAUUUGCCUGACACAAGGUCGCCUCCCUGCAAACAAAUCAGGAGGAAAGCUCAACAAACAACCAAGGUCAUAUAACCUAAAAACUUUUGUGCAAACAACUGAGGAUGAAAGCUCAGCAAACAGGUCAUCUGAAAGCAGCCGCAGUUGGUUCAAACGUGAAAGAAACAUCAUGAGCACAAGUAAGGAAAAUGGUUGGCCACCCGCUUUCUAGUUACCCCCC
Molecule: non-coding RNA, 8341 nt
Organism: Podarcis lilfordi (Lilford's wall lizard)
Lineage: Eukaryota; Metazoa; Chordata; Lepidosauria; Squamata; Lacertidae
Source: the annotation of a GenBank genome assembly